This is a long non-coding RNA of Pteronotus mesoamericanus, 126 nucleotides long. RefSeq lists it as uncharacterized. The record is from RefSeq and is a predicted model, not a curated record. Lineage: Eukaryota; Metazoa; Chordata; Mammalia; Chiroptera; Mormoopidae. The transcript is spliced from 2 exons.
UUAGGACCAACUGUCGUGGCAACCGCCUGGAUUAAACAAAAAAGGGAUUAAGACUCAACCACAUGAGGAACCAAGGACUCAGAGCAUGAAAUUCCUUAAAUAAAAAUUUAUUAAUUUCAAACUGUG